UUUCCGUAGGUGAACCUGCGGAAGGAUCAUUAUUGAAUGAACUUGGUGUGGUUGUGCCGGCCCUCUCGGGGGCAUGUGCUCACUCGCCAUUCUCAUCUCUCCACCUGUGCACCUUUUGUAGACUUGGACUUGACUUUCCGAGGGAACUCGGUCGGGAGGACUGCUGGCAAUUCAGCUGGCUGUCCUUGCAUUUCCAAGCCUACGUUUUUCAUAUACCCCAUUGUAUGUAACAGAAUGUAUCAUUAGGCCCUUGUGCCUAUAAAACUUAUACAACUUUCAGCAACGGAUCUCUUGGCUCUC
RNAcentral lists this unclassified non-coding RNA (300 nucleotides) under plant metagenome. Its description in RNAcentral is "partial contains small subunit ribosomal RNA, internal transcribed spacer 1, and 5.8S ribosomal RNA". The record is from RNAcentral.